UUAUGUCCUUAAAGCACAUUAAGUGCUUGGAAGUUAAUUGGUAUUUAAUUAGCAUAAAUCAAGCACUUUAAUAAUACUCAAAGAAAAACAACGUGGUUUUACAGAUGCUUUAUCAAAAGUCACCUUGAGAAACUGAAGAUGAAUGUGCCCAACACAUCAGCACACGAGGCCAUGCACUGUCCCCUGCUGUCCCCCUGCUGUCCCCUGCACACAGGGACCACAGGCAGUGGCACCUCUGCCCUGGAGGGACCUGCUGAGCCCCCCUCCCCUGCACCUCAAAGGAGCUGCCUUGAAACCAGGGUGCAGCAGGGAGAUGGGGUGGGGGAUGGACCUGGGAUGCAGGAUGGAUUUGGGAUGCAGGAUGGGUUUGGGAUGCAGGAUGGGUCUGGGAUGCAGGAGGGCUCUGGGAUGCAGGAGGGCUCUGGGAUGCAGGAGGGCUCUGGGAUGCAGGAGGGCUCUGGGAUGCAGGAGGGCUCUGGGAUGCAGGAGGGCUCUGGGAUGCAGGAGGGCUCUGGGAUGCAGGAGGGCUCUGGGAUGCAGGAGGGCUCUGGGAUGCAGGAGGGCUCUGGGAUGCAGGAGGGCUCUGGGAUGCAGGAGGGCUCUGGGAUGCAGGAGGGCUCUGGGAUGCAGGAGGGCUCUGGGAUGCAGGAGGGCUCUGGGAUGCAGGAGGGCUCUGGGAUGCAGGAGGGCUCUGGGAUGCAGGAGGGCUCUGGGAUGCAGGAGGGCUCUGGGAUGCAGGAGGGCUCUGGGAUGCAGGAUGGGUCUGGGAUGCAGGAUGGAUUUGGGAUGCAGGAUGGGUCUGGGAUGCAGGCAGCACCCGCGGUGCAAAGCCUGCCGGCUGCAGGAGGCUGCCAGUGCAGAGGCAGGCGCAGCCGAGCGCGGUUCCUGCGGGGCCGAGCAUCCUCUCGAAAGGGGAAGGUGGGAGCCCCGUCACGGCCCGGGGGCACCAGCCCCGCUCCCCCCUCUGCGCCCCGAGCAGAGGCGGGGACACUCUGGGGUCCCCACGGGCUCCCUUUGGGGAGGAAACAGCGAUUCUGCUCCGUGUUUGCUUCGGCAUUUUUUGUGGCGUUGCCAUGACAACCGUCCCGGUGACAUCUUCAUGCUAUUUGUCUCCUUCUGGGGGUUGCAGCGUUUUCGUCCCUGAAUGAGCAGCUGCGGUUCCCGGCUCACCUGGAGCGUCCCGGGUUUCUCGGCUCCUGCCCAGCCCGGGGAGCUGCCCCCCACCCCGAGCCAGGGAUGCUCCAUUCCCGGUUCCCUCACGCCAGCACCCCUGCAGCAUCCUCCUUCCCCAAAAACACAUCUCUACGUGCUGUACCCGCGUGUGUGUGUCACCUCGGGCAUGGGAAAGUAGAGAACGAGCUGAAAAUAGAGAGGUGACAUUGGCAGUGCCCUGCCAGCCCCACGGGGACAGCGGGGAGCAGGGAACUGCCCUGUCACAGCAGCUGUGAGAGCCACCAGCAGAGACAGGGGGAGGCGGCUGCCUGACCCGCGGGCACCUCCAGACCCGCUGCAGCCGGAGCCAGCCCCAGCUCCCGCCCGGGGAAGGUGCUGGAACCCUGCUCAGGGCAGCCAGGUCCUGUCCCACUCCUGCCCCACUCCUGCCCCACUCCUGUGCCAGCCUGACCCCCUCCCAUCCACUCCUGUCUCCCUCCUCUCUCCCUUCUGUCCCACUCCUGUCCCCUCCUGUCCCCCUCCUGCCCCCCAGCCCCAUCCCUGCCCUGCUGCCCUGGAGCCGGGCGGGGUGGGCAGCCCAGUUUUGGGGCACAGCUCUCCCAGCCCAGCCCCUGCCCCAGUUCACCUCUGAGUCACGCUGAGGAGGGCUGGGGCAGCAACAGGCAUUUCCCAAGUUAAAAUUUCACAGAAUCCAGAGUGACGUAACCCCUGGAGCAGAGGGGUUCCUGUCUGGCGCUGGCAGUGCUGGCAGUGCCUGCCGUGUGCCAGCGCAGCCCCCGGGCGGGGCUCGGAGCCCGUGAGCCCCCCCAGGGGAGGCUGGAGGCCGCAGGAUGAGUCAGGGCAGCGCUGCAGGAGGGGAUGGAUGCCCAGCUGACGCACAGCUGCCGUGCUGGCUCCUCUCCCCCUGCCCACACAGCUCCAUCCUCCCCUUCUGCUGACUCUCCUGCCUCUGGCAGCCGGAGCAGCCCCCAGCACUGCUCCUCUGGCAGGGCAGGGGUGGUCCCCCCUGGCACUGGCUGAGUGCCUCACCCCCUUGUCCUCCUGAUGCCUGGAGGGACCACAGGCAGGACUGUCCCCAAAGCUCCCGUCUCCUGUCACCCCCUGAGGCAGCACCAUGAGGCAGGAGCUGCUUGGCCAGCUGGAGUGGGGGGCAAUGCGCCCACCCAGAGGGCACGGGGCUCCCUGGCUCUGUGGGUGCCCAGGCACAGCUCUGGGGGGUCAGAUCCUGUGCAUGGCAGUGCCAGGGGAGCCUGGGGCAGCACAGACUCCAGCAGAGGAUGCUCCUGGUGAGCCAGUGCCAUGGCAGGGGCUGGCAGAGCCCUGGCACCGUGGCUUGGCUGGGAGGUUCCAGUUUCCAUCCUCCUCCCUCCAGCAGCAGAGGAACCAGGGCUGGUCCACGGGUGCCAGGGAGAUGCUGAGGGGUCCAGGAUGC
Molecule: long non-coding RNA, 2605 nt
Filed under: Ficedula albicollis (Collared flycatcher)
Lineage: Eukaryota; Metazoa; Chordata; Aves; Passeriformes; Muscicapidae
Description: lncRNA (ENSFALG00000027340.1)
Source: RNAcentral